UCAAUGUCCUUAAUCCAAUUGUCUUAAAUUGUUUAUGAAGAAUUAUUACUAAUUUGUUCACUGUUCUCUGUCUUUGGAUGACCUAAUGUUCAACAAUUAUUGACUUAGGUCAAAAAUAAAAUAAGGCGAUUGCUAAACCGUCCAUAUGGAGUUCUAAAAUAGUUUCGGUCACGUCUCGACAAACUUCACUAUCGUGUUUUUUAAUGUUGAG
RNAcentral lists this long non-coding RNA (211 nucleotides) under Prunus persica (peach). RNAcentral's name for it is "long non-coding RNA (PPER_LNC006860)". Lineage: Eukaryota; Viridiplantae; Streptophyta; Magnoliopsida; Rosales; Rosaceae. The record is from RNAcentral.